Molecule: ribosomal RNA, 492 nt
Filed under: uncultured bacterium
Lineage: Bacteria
Description: partial 16S ribosomal RNA
Rfam family: Bacterial small subunit ribosomal RNA
Source: RNAcentral
AGUGAACGCUGGCGGUAGGCCUAACACAUGCAAGUCGAACGGCAGCACAGUAAGAGCUUGCUCUUACGGGUGGCGAGUGGCGGACGGGUGAGGAAUACAUCGGAAUCUACUUUUUCGUGGGGGAUAACGUAGGGAAACUUACGCUAAUACCGCAUACGACCUACGGGUGAAAGCAGGGGAUCUUCGGACCUUGCGCGAUUGAAUGAGCCGAUGUCGGAUUAGCUAGUUGGCGGGGUAAAGGCCCACCAAGGCGACGAUCCGUAGCUGGUCUGAGAGGAUGAUCAGCCACACUGGAACUGAGACACGGUCCAGACUCCUACGGGAGGCAGCAGUGGGGAAUAUUGGACAAUGGGCGCAAGCCUGAUCCAGCCAGAGCGCGUGGGUGAAGAAGGCCUUCGGGUUGUAAAGCCCUUUUGUUGGGAAAGAAAAGCAGCAGGUUAAUACCCCGCUGUUCUGACGGUACCCAAAGAAUAAGCACCGGCUAACUUCGUG